This 467-nucleotide ribosomal RNA is filed under the name uncultured bacterium. RNAcentral describes it as "partial 16S ribosomal RNA". It matches the Rfam family "Bacterial small subunit ribosomal RNA", at positions 28 to 507 of the family's 1533-position model. The record is from RNAcentral.
GACGAACGCUGGCGGCGUGCUUAACACAUGCAAGUCGAACGGAAAGGCCCUGCUUUUGUGGGGUGCUCGAGUGGCGAACGGGUGAGUAACACGUGAGUAACCUGCCCUUGACUUUGGGAUAACUUCAGGAAACUGGGGCUAAUACCGGAUAGGAGCUCCUGCUGCAUGGUGGGGGUUGGAAAGUUUCGGCGGUUGGGGAUGGACUCGCGGCUUAUCAGCUUGUUGGUGGGGUAGUGGCUUACCAAGGCUUUGACGGGUAGCCGGCCUGAGAGGGUGACCGGCCACAUGGGAACUGGGAACGGCCCAGGACUCCUAGGGGGGCCAGCGGUGGGAAUUAUGGCCCAAUGGGCGAAGGCUUGAGACAACAACGCCGGGUGGGGAAUAACGGCCUUCGGGUUGUAACCGCUUUUCGCUUGUAACGAGCCGGAGUGAAGGGAAAGGGUGAAGAAGGAACGGGUAACUACGUG